AUGAGAAUAAAGUCAUAAUAUCAGAGGUCGUACCCACUCAUCGAAUAAUGUAGAACUUGGAACAUUUCGUGCAGUUCUCCUUUCAUUUGGGGGUUAGGCACAAAGGCCAAACACUGAGUCUGUCCUCCCAACAACACACUGUCAUUAGUCUGAGGACUCUGGAGCGAGUUUGCACACAUUUGGGUUUGUUGUAAGAACCGAACUGAUUUGUAGUAAAUUUCCUCUUUUGUGGAGG
Sphaeramia orbicularis (orbiculate cardinalfish) is the source of this 235-nucleotide long non-coding RNA. RefSeq lists it as uncharacterized. The transcript is spliced from 4 exons. The record is from RefSeq and is a predicted model, not a curated record. NCBI's taxonomy places the organism in Eukaryota, Metazoa, Chordata, Actinopteri, Kurtiformes, Apogonidae.